AGUGAACGCUGGCGGUAGGCCUAACACAUGCAAGUCGAACGGCAGCACAGUAAGAGCUUGCUCUUACGGGUGGCGAGUGGCGGACGGGUGAGGAAUACAUCGGAAUCUACUUUUUCGUGGGGGAUAACGUAGGGAAACAUACGCUAAUACCGCAUACGACCUACGGGUGAAAGCAGGGGAUCUUCGGACCUUGCGCGAUUGAAUGAGCCGAUGUCGGAUUAGCUAGUUGGCGGGGUAAAGGCCCACCAAGGCGACGAUCCGUAGCUGGUCUGAGAGGAUGAUCAGCCACACUGGAACUGAGACACGGUCCAGACUCCUACGGGAGGCAGAAGUGGGGAAUAUUGGACAAUGGGCGCAAGCCUGAUCCAGCCAUACCGCGUGGGUGAAGAAGGCCUUCGGGUUGUAAAGCCCUUUUGUUGGGAAAGAAAAGCAGCAGGUUAAUACCCCGCUGUUCUGACGGUACCCAAAGAAUAAGCACCGGCUAACUUCGUG
This 492-nucleotide ribosomal RNA is filed under the name uncultured bacterium. RNAcentral's name for it is "partial 16S ribosomal RNA". It matches the Rfam family "Bacterial small subunit ribosomal RNA", at positions 29 to 507 of the family's 1533-position model. The record is from RNAcentral.